AACGAACGCUGGCGGCAUGCCUAACACAUGCAAGUCGAACGAGACCUUCGGGUCUAGUGGCGCACGGGUGCGUAACGCGUGGGAACCUGCCCUUAGGUUCGGAAUAACUCCCCGAAAGGGGUGCUAAUACCGGAUAAUGUCUUCGGACCAAAGAUUUAUCGCCUUUGGAUGGGCCCGCGUUGGAUUAGCUAGUUGGUAGGGUAAAAGCCUACCAAGGCGACGAUCCAUAGCUGGUCUGAGAGGAUGAUCAGCCACACUGGGACUGAGACACGGCCCAGACUCCUACGGGAGGCAGCAGUGGGGAAAUUUGGACAAUGGGCGAAAGCCUGAUCCAGCAAUGCCGCGUGAGUGAUGAAGGCCUUAGGGUUGUAAAGCUCUUUUACCCGGGAUGAUAAUGACAGUACCGGGAGAAUAAGCUCCGGCUAACUCCGUG
This 433-nucleotide ribosomal RNA is filed under the name uncultured bacterium. RNAcentral describes it as "partial 16S ribosomal RNA". It matches the Rfam family "Bacterial small subunit ribosomal RNA", at positions 29 to 507 of the family's 1533-position model. The record is from RNAcentral.